UAGUGCAAAAUCCAUCGAGCCAAGAGGAAUACAAAUAUGCAAAAAAAAGCAAGCAAACGAGAGAACGAAAGCAGAAGUGCAUGAGCGGGCCCGCCUGAGGCCAAUGCCAGCUGCUGAGCAGAGGUGCUCUCCUCGCAUCUGCACACACACACACACACACACACACACACACACACACACACACACACAACACUGCCUCAUGAGAUUGCGAGGGCAUUCGAUGCACGUUCACUCCGAUGCCGCUGUGACAUGCACAAGCCCUUGAUGCAGCGUCUCGUGCGCGUCUUUGAGACUUUAGCAAAGAGAGAAGGCGGCGUCACGCCCCCUUCUCUUCUGCGCUCGUCACGUUUGUGUGUGUGUGUGGUCUGCUCAAAUGCCCCGUCAGCAUCUCCGAAGGAUGCGGCGGCUCUUCCACAUACCGGAAACACUUUCUGCUUGGCGUGUACUCAAGUGGCUUUCAUCUUUUCAACCUUCCUCGUCACUUCCUCGCCACUCUUUCUUUCUUCGUCUUUGGUCGUUUGCACGUUCGCUGUGCCUCCUAUGCGUACAUGGUUUCGUGAGACAG
Molecule: unclassified non-coding RNA, 565 nt
Filed under: Leishmania donovani
Lineage: Eukaryota; Euglenozoa; Kinetoplastea; Trypanosomatida; Trypanosomatidae
Description: gene:unknown
Source: RNAcentral